RNAcentral lists this ribosomal RNA (301 nucleotides) under uncultured bacterium. Its description in RNAcentral is "partial 16S ribosomal RNA". It matches the Rfam family "Bacterial small subunit ribosomal RNA", at positions 509 to 807 of the family's 1533-position model. The record is from RNAcentral.
CAGUAGCCGCGGUAAUACGUAGGUGGCAAGCGUUGUCCGGAUUUAUUGGGCGUAAAGCGAGCGCAGGCGGUUCCUUAAGUCUGAUGUGAAAGCCCACGGCUCAACCGUGGAAGGUCAUUGGAAACUGGGGAACUUGAGUGCAGAAGAGGAGAGUGGAAUUCCAUGUGUAGCGGUGAAAUGCGUAGAUAUAUGGAGGAACACCAGUGGCGAAGGCGACUCUCUGGUCUGUAACUGACGCUGAGGCUCGAAAGCGUGGGGAGCAAACAGGAUUAGAUACCCCUGUAGUCCCUGUCUCUUAUAC